GACGAACGCUGGCGGUGUGCUUCACACAUGCAAGUCGAACGAGGUAGCAAUACCUAGUGGCGGACGGGUGAGUAACGCGUGGGAAUCUGCCUUUAGAUGGGGGAUAACGGGUCGAAAGACUCGCUAAUACCGCAUAUGACGAAAGUUGAAAGGAGUAAUCCGUCUAAAGAUGAGCCCGCGUCCGAUUAGCUAGUUGGUGGGGUAACGGCCUACCAAGGCUUCGAUCCGUAGCUGGUCUGAGAGGUACGAUCAGCCACACUGGGACUGAGACACGGCCCAGACUCCUACGGGAGGCAGCAGUGGGGAAUCUUGCGCAAUGGGGGCAACCCUGACGCAGCCAUGCCGCGUGAACGAUGAAGGCCUUAGGGUUGUAAAGUUCUUUUACCCGUGACGAUGAUGACGGUAACGGGGGAAUAAGCUCCGGCUAACUUCGUG
This 435-nucleotide ribosomal RNA is filed under the name uncultured bacterium. RNAcentral's name for it is "bacterial SSU rRNA". It matches the Rfam family "Bacterial small subunit ribosomal RNA", at positions 28 to 507 of the family's 1533-position model. The record is from RNAcentral.